AGGGCACCACCAGGAGUGGAGCCUGCGGCUUAAUUUGACUCAACACGGGAAAACUUACCUGGUCCUGACACUAGAAGGAUUGACAGAUUGAUAGCUCUUUCUUGAUUUGGUGGAUGGUGGUGCAUGGCCGUUCUUAGUUGGUGGAGUGAUUUGUCUGGUUAAUUCCGAUAACGAACGAGACUCUAGCCUAUUAAAUAACACACAGAAUCUCGUCUUCUGUGGUGUUUCUUAAUGGGAUCAAGUGUGUUUAACGCUUUGAAACAGAGCA
RNAcentral lists this ribosomal RNA (268 nucleotides) under uncultured eukaryote. RNAcentral describes it as "partial small subunit ribosomal RNA". It matches the Rfam family "Eukaryotic small subunit ribosomal RNA", at positions 1161 to 1452 of the family's 1831-position model. The record is from RNAcentral.